This 251-nucleotide ribosomal RNA is filed under the name uncultured prokaryote. RNAcentral's name for it is "partial 16S ribosomal RNA". It matches the Rfam family "Bacterial small subunit ribosomal RNA", at positions 525 to 775 of the family's 1533-position model. The record is from RNAcentral.
ACCUCUUUUUCCCGCUUUUUUCUGAAUUAUUGGGCGUAAAGAGCACGUAGGCGGCCCUACAAGUCAGCUGUGAAAUCCUUCUGCUCAACGGAAGAACGGCAGUUGAUACUAUAGGGCUGGAGUGCGGGAGGGGAGAGUGGAACUUCUGGUGGAGCGGUGAAAUGCGUAGAUAUCAGAAGGAACAUCGGCGGCGAAAGCGACUCUCUGGCCCGUAACUGACGCUGAGGUGCGAAAGCUAGGGGAGCAAACGG